This 468-nucleotide ribosomal RNA is filed under the name uncultured bacterium. Its description in RNAcentral is "partial 16S ribosomal RNA". It matches the Rfam family "Bacterial small subunit ribosomal RNA", at positions 28 to 507 of the family's 1533-position model. The record is from RNAcentral.
GACGAACGCUGGCGGCGUGCUUAACACAUGCAAGUCGAACGGAAAGGCCCUGCUUUUGUGGGGUGCUCGAGUGGCGAACGGGUGAGUAACACGUGAGUAACCUGCCCUUGACUUUGGGAUAACUUCAGGAAACUGGGGCUAUUACCGGAUAGGAGCCCCUGCUGCAUGGUGGGGGUUGGAAAGUUUCGGCGGUUGGGGAUGGACUCGCGGCUUAUCAGCUUGUUGGUGGGGUAGUGGCUUACCAAGGCUUUGACGGGUAGCCGGCCUGAGAGGGUGACCGGCCACAUUGGGACUGAGAUACGGCCCAGACUCCUACGGGAGGCAGCAGUGGGGAAUAUUGCACAAUGGGCGGAAGCCUGAUGCAGCAACGCCGCGUGCGGGAUGACGGCCUUCGGGUUGUAAACCGCUUUCGCCUGCGACGAAGCGUGAGUGACGGUAAUGGGUAAAGAAGCACCGGCUAACUACGUG